UACGAAGUUCAUUCUGAAAUGGAGUGGUCUGUGUAUUGCAUAGUUGUAGAGAUCGGAUUUCACUCAAAACCCACCAAAUGACUCCUCCCACGAUAUUAUGAUGUUCCCUAAGUUUUAGACUCAACCCGACAUCUUUUGGUCCACGAAAUUGGACAAUUCAGGUUCGUACGAAGUUUAUUCUAAAAUGGAAUUGUUGGUGUAUUGCAUAGUUCUAGAGGGUGGAUUUUACUGAAAACCCACCAAGUGACUCCUCCC
RNAcentral lists this long non-coding RNA (255 nucleotides) under Prunus persica (peach). Its description in RNAcentral is "long non-coding RNA (PPER_LNC004663)". The record is from RNAcentral. Lineage: Eukaryota; Viridiplantae; Streptophyta; Magnoliopsida; Rosales; Rosaceae.